UACGUAGGCAGCAAGCGUUGUUCGGAAUUACUGGGCGUAAAGAGUGUGUAGGCGGUGCUCUAAGUUCGGUGUGAAAUCUCCCGGCUCAACUGGGCGGGGUCAGCGGAUACGGCGGCACUUGAGCAAGCUAGGGGGCAAUGGAAUUCCCGGUGUAGUGGUGGAAUGCGUAGAUAUCGGGAGGAACACCAGUGGCGAAGGCGGUUGCCUGGGGCUUUGCUGACGCUGAUGCGCGAAAGCGUGGGGAGCGAUCCGG
This 253-nucleotide ribosomal RNA is filed under the name uncultured bacterium. RNAcentral describes it as "partial 16S ribosomal RNA". It matches the Rfam family "Bacterial small subunit ribosomal RNA", at positions 524 to 776 of the family's 1533-position model. The record is from RNAcentral.